UCCCUGAUAGCUCAGUUGGUAAAGAAUCUGCCUACAAUGCAGAAGACCCCAGUUCAAAUCCUGGGUCAGGAA
This 72-nucleotide transfer RNA is filed under the name Bos taurus (domestic cattle). It matches the Rfam family "tRNA". Rfam says of the family: Transfer RNA (tRNA) molecules are approximately 80 nucleotides in length. Their secondary structure includes four short double-helical elements and three loops (D, anti-codon, and T loops). Lineage: Eukaryota; Metazoa; Chordata; Mammalia; Artiodactyla; Bovidae. RNAcentral also lists the same sequence under 1 other name. The record is from Rfam by way of RNAcentral.